This 438-nucleotide ribosomal RNA is filed under the name uncultured bacterium. RNAcentral describes it as "partial 16S ribosomal RNA". It matches the Rfam family "Bacterial small subunit ribosomal RNA", at positions 339 to 795 of the family's 1533-position model. The record is from RNAcentral.
CUACGGGCUGCUGCAGUGAGGAAUAUUGCACAAUGGGGGGAACCCUGAUGCAGCAACGCCGCGUGGAGGAUGACGCAUUUCGGUGUGUAAACUCCUUUUAUAUGUCAAGAAAAUGACGGUAGCAUAUGAAUAAGCACCGGCUAACUCCGUGCCAGCAGCCGCGGUAAUACGGAGGGUGAAGCGUUACUCGGAAUCACUGGGCGUAAAGGACGCGUAGGCGGGUUGGAAAGUCAGGUGUGAAAUCCUACAGCUUAACUGUAGAACUGCACUUGAAACUUCUAAUCUAGAGUAUGGGAGGGGGGGAUGGAAUUAGUGGUGUAGGGGUAAAAUCCGUAGAUAUCACUAGGAAUACCUAAAGCGAAGGCGAUCUCCUGGAACAUUACUGACGCUAAGGCGUGAAAGCGUGGGGAGCAAACAGGAUUAGAUACCCCGGUAGUC